GGAGAACUCAAGGGCUCCAGUCCCUCUCCCUCCACCUCUGGGGAGGAUGAUAAACAUCAAAGAUAAUAUUACAUUCUUGAGAUCACAUCAUGUUGAUCAGCCCAUCAGGAGAUGGAGCUCUUCUGAGAGCAAAGGGGAUACCAUUUCACCCCAAUUCAUCCAUUUUGUUCUAUCUCUUCCUCAGGGUAACUAAGGUAUCAGCCCUUCCCUGGGCUUCAAUGCACCAUGAUAUGCGGCCCAGACCCCCAAGCCAUGCAUAGCCCCAUCAGGAUCUGGAUUCGCCUGAGGAUGAAGAUCCAGGGGUGAGUCUGGCAUGGCAAGAAGCUGCAAUGGUUGGGCAUGGCUCUGGGGCUACAAGAGGCCGGGGUAGCAGCUGUCAGGGGUAAGACGCCAGAGGCCACGGAAGAAUGGACAGUAUGCUACAAGAGAGAAAGGCACUGUCACGGCGCUUGCUCUCUGAGACACUUGAUCAGAACAGUAGACAAAGGUCCGAGCAGAGGCUGCAACCACAUAGAGCCCACGCUUUCCCUGUCUCUCCUCCGCCUGCCAGAUGACCUCACCAUCUUCCUCCACAUCCCUUGGCUGCCCGAGAUCCUUCCUGCCCCGGGGCCUCUACCUGUGGCCUGUGCUUCAUCGCGUUAUUUCCAAGGGAUGGUUCUCAGAGUCAUUGCUGCCAACUUAAACUCUUCACUCAUCCUGUUUCCGUACCACGUCUUGAAGUAUCUUGGAUUUUUCCUCCAGCUGACGAUGAUCGGCAGCACUGAACAUGCUUCAAGGGCUCGAAACAAGCUUGUCUUAGUCAAAGGAUCAUAUUUAACAUUUUCAAUGCCGAUGGGUGAAUCCUGAGCCACGGGAUGGGCUCCCACUUCUCCCAGGCCUGUCUCCAUCCCAGCAAUGCCAGGAGAAUUCAUCUUCAGUAAGAGAUUGUUGUUGUUUUUUUUGGGGGGGGGGCGAGAGGAUGCGGGGAAUUCUUGAAUGGGAUUUGUAACUAUUGCACAUGCGAGGCUCCAUGUCCAAUCCCAGAAGGGAUUAAGCCUUUGACGACCUAAGAGUUUCAAAUAAUGUAAGUGAAAGUGUUGUCCAGCAAGAGUGCAGACACUGUUGUGCUGUUUACUGAUCUGGGGCUUCCUCAGGACUCAG
Molecule: long non-coding RNA, 1140 nt
Filed under: Mustela putorius furo (domestic ferret)
Lineage: Eukaryota; Metazoa; Chordata; Mammalia; Carnivora; Mustelidae
Description: lncRNA (ENSMPUG00000027862.1)
Source: RNAcentral